AUUGAACGCUGGCGGCAGGCCUAACACAUGCAAGUCGAGCGGAUGAAGGGAGCUUGCUCCUGGAUUCAGCGGCGGACGGGUGAGUAAUGCCUAGGAAUCUGCCUGGUAGUGGGGGAUAACGUCCGGAAACGGGCGCUAAUACCGCAUACGUCCUGAGGGAGAAAGUGGGGGAUCUUCGGACCUCACGCUAUCAGAUGAGCCUAGGUCGGAUUAGCUAGUUGGUGGGGUAAAGGCCUACCAAGGCGACGAUCCGUAACUGGUCUGAGAGGAUGAUCAGUCACACUGGAACUGAGACACGGUCCAGACUCCUACGGGAGGCAGCAGUGGGGAAUAUUGGACAAUGGUCGAAAGCCUGAACCAGCCAUGCCGCGUGUGUGAAGAAGGUCUUCGGAUUUUAAAGCACUUUAAGUUGGGAGGAAGGGCAGUAAGUUAAUACCUUGCUGUUUUGACGUUACCAACAGAAUAAGCACCGGCUAACUUCGUG
This 484-nucleotide ribosomal RNA is filed under the name uncultured bacterium. Its description in RNAcentral is "partial 16S ribosomal RNA". It matches the Rfam family "Bacterial small subunit ribosomal RNA", at positions 30 to 507 of the family's 1533-position model. The record is from RNAcentral.